UCCGCUGCCCUCGCCCGGGCUGACUCGCGGCAGUCCCCGAAACUGGGGUCAUUGUGAGAUUUGGCGCUAGGCCAGGGGUCAGAGGAGAGGGAAAAUGCAAACAACCCAAAUGGCCAUCAAAUGAUGAGUGGAGGAAUAAACGUGCUAUACCUGUACCAUGGACUAUUACUCAGCAAUAAAAAGAAUGGAGUAUUUGGAACUAGAUAGAGAUGCGGUUAUAUAAUAUUGUGAAUGUAAUAAAUGCCAUUAAAUAUU
Long non-coding RNA from Lontra canadensis (Northern American river otter), 255 nucleotides. RefSeq lists it as uncharacterized. The record is from RefSeq and is a predicted model, not a curated record. Lineage: Eukaryota; Metazoa; Chordata; Mammalia; Carnivora; Mustelidae. The transcript has 2 exons.